AGAGACACCACAUGUUUUAUGGAUCAAAACUGAUACUUGCUCAUGCUGGCAUCUCAAGGAAUUUUAAAUUCCAAAUACAGGUGUGCAUGUGUCCACUUGGAAACUACUUUUUCGUGAGUUGUUCGAGACGAAAACCCAGUCUAUAUGAUGGACUGCUCUCCUAUUUUUUUUUUAUGUGUGCGCCUGCUCCGUGCUCUUUUGUUCCCACCAGGCUAUUGUGUUGAUCCGUGGGGAUUUCUUUUUACCCCUGCCAUUGGUUUGCUCUGUAAAACGCAGGUGUUCCCAAUACUUUUCUUUUAUAAAAAAUCUGGGCUGUCAUAGCCUUUUCUCUGGAAGCGUUGAUUGUUAAACUACUAAAAUGUCUUCUGUAGGUUUUGCUUACUCGUGGCUGUAUGUUGGUGAUAAUCCCCAAGUGCAGGGAAUCAUCAUAGCAAUUCCCAAAGGUGGAAGUGAUAAGUAUGGAGUGUCGAACCCACAAGGAGCUAAAGGGCAAUCCACAACAUGAAUAUACAUGUAGCAAUGGUGUGCCCUUGGAACGUCCUGCAGUAAGCCCUCUCAAAGAAUCCUUAUGAAGUGUUCCUAGAGUUUGGUGGAUAUGACCGGAGUGAUAUUUUCAUAAGGAAGUCCAAGGCACAAGGGCUAUAAAUGUUAAGGAUUGCCUGACUGCGACAACUAUUGGGUUCCGUCUCACCAUGCAGUGUCGCAAUAAGGCCAUUGAUCCAGUGUAGUUGUUGGGCAUGCACAUUGUGGAAUGGUUAUAGCAACUCGCUGCACUGCAGAUCAGGCCAUUCCCUUCCUCAGCAGAGCAGUCGGGCAAUUUUUGGACUACAGAAUUAGUCCCGAGAGAUGAAGUAAGAGCUGCAGUUGAUCAUGUUGUCCAAACAAGUCUUGAUCAAACAAACAGAAUGACUUGAUUAAUUGGGCUUAUAAGUUGGUUGCAUCAACUGAUAGAUGCACUAAUGUAUGUAAGUGAAAUUAUCUCCUUGAGUCAUGAUUGGCAUAUUUCCUUGCUUGAUGAAGGUUCCAUCUUUACAUAAUAGUUUUCUAUGCAUAUGAAACUGCUCUAUAUAGACAAAAGGUGGACGACUACAAAUCCAGUGGCCGUUGCUCCGUUGUGGACAUGGGAGUCGUCUGAAUUUUGUCGUCCAUAUAGCAAGGUUCCUAUGCAUAUCCUGUCAAGUAAAAUUUUUCAUGAAAAUAUGAGGUGGGCCGUGGGCAUCAAUCUUUCACAGGUUCAGGGUUGAAAAUGUCGACAACUUUGUAUGGUUGAAGGAUAUUCCAAGAAUUCCCACUCUCGCAAGAAAACAACUUGGCUCACUUAUGCUAAGAUGUUCUGGUGUUAAGUUUCUCCUCUUUUAUGGACCAAGAAGAUGAAUUAUUUUGACAACAUCAACUGCAUUUGUACUGACAACAAAAAUAUUGUUGCUUGGACGGUCUUACAUUUAGAGAUGCUAUCCAAGCCACAUAAUCCUUCCCUAACAUGCAGAUGCUAUCUAAGCAUUUGUGUUCUAACAAAGAUAAAUAACUUUCUUUUCAUUAAUCAAUAAGAGCGGCACAAAGUUCAGGUCCCUGUCUUAAUGGCAGACGGAAUGAGGGGAAGGAGAACUGAUGUUGUGGUCAUAUAUUUUGAUGUAACACAUGGCAAGUAGUGUAUGCCCAUUGAAAUAUGUCGACGAUAUGUAUACAAGUGUCAACAAAAACAUCAUUUAACCGUUAUGACAGAUGUUUCUAUGAUUGUUAGCUGACAGAGCAUUUGUUGUGAUGGUGUUGGAAGCGUUGUGUAUGGCAAAGGUAGAUCCCGUUGUAGUGCAGAGCAGAGUUAGCACCAUUCAAGUCCAUUAUUGAAUGUGUGGAUACUACCAAAUGAUGUAUGUCUCAUUUUCAUACUAAAGUGUGGCUUCUAUUGCAAAAAAAGCUUGCGGCAAAGCCGAGGAGAUGGAUUGCAAGGGGGAAGAGAAGAUGUUUUCAUAGAUUAAAUUUUGUAAGAAAAGUAGUGUGUAUAUAC
Molecule: long non-coding RNA, 2005 nt
Organism: Triticum aestivum (bread wheat)
Lineage: Eukaryota; Viridiplantae; Streptophyta; Magnoliopsida; Poales; Poaceae
Exons: 5
Source: RefSeq, a predicted model, not a curated record